Molecule: unclassified non-coding RNA, 202 nt
Filed under: Hevea brasiliensis (rubber tree)
Lineage: Eukaryota; Viridiplantae; Streptophyta; Magnoliopsida; Malpighiales; Euphorbiaceae
Source: RNAcentral
CCCAGUUUCUCUCAACAGAGACAAAUUACAGCUCUUAAGACAGCGAUAUUAUUAUGCCACAUGGAAGGCUGAUGGAACGAGAUAUAUGAUGCUAAUAACUAGGGAUGGAUGCUACUUGAUUGACAGGAAUUUUUACUUCCGAAGAGUUGAUAUGCGGUUUCCAUGCAAACACACAAAUAAGGGUGUGCCUGAUCAGAUUCAC